UAUUGUCUUUUUUUUUUUUGUUGUUGAUGUGAGUUUUUGCUGCUAUUGAUUGAACUGUGCAACCGAAUACUCUAAAUCAGUGGUUCCCAAACUUUUUUUCUUUAAUGGAACACUUUCCACAAUCUGAGUAUUUUAGCGGAACAAUUCUCUUAUUUUCUGGAGAGAUUAAUUCACGUGGUAGCCUACACUAGUUUAUUAAUCCAAUAGUUCGUGGAACACCUAUUCAGGCCUCGCGGAACACUAAGGUUCCGCGUAACACAGUUCUGGAAACACUGGUCUAAAUUUAAAAAAAAGAUUACAGCUGUGGUCAUUUAAUUGAUUAACUCUACUUCCUUAUAUCGCGAGUCCUUCCAAGC
Non-coding RNA from Biomphalaria pfeifferi, 356 nucleotides. Lineage: Eukaryota; Metazoa; Mollusca; Gastropoda; Planorbidae. The record is from the annotation of a GenBank genome assembly.